This 405-nucleotide ribosomal RNA is filed under the name Staphylococcus aureus. RNAcentral describes it as "bacterial SSU rRNA". It matches the Rfam family "Bacterial small subunit ribosomal RNA", at positions 1 to 394 of the family's 1533-position model. The record is from RNAcentral. Lineage: Bacteria; Bacillati; Bacillota; Bacilli; Caryophanales; Staphylococcaceae.
UUUUAUGGAGAGUUUGAUCCUGGCUCAGGAUGAACGCUGGCGGCGUGCCUAAUACAUGCAAGUCGAGCGAACGGACGAGAAGCUUGCUUCUCUGAUGUUAGCGGCGGACGGGUGAGUAACACGUGGAUAACCUACCUAUAAGACUGGGAUAACUUCGGGAAACCGGAGCUAAUACCGGAUAAUAUUUUGAACCGCAUGGUUCAAAAGUGAAAGACGGUCUUGCUGUCACUUAUAGAUGGAUCCGCGCUGCAUUAGCUAGUUGGUAAGGUAACGGCUUACCAAGGCAACGAUGCAUAGCCGACCUGAGAGGGUGAUCGGCCACACUGGAACUGAGACACGGUCCAGACUCCUACGGGAGGCAGCAGUAGGGAAUCUUCCGCAAUGGGCGAAAGCCUGACGGAGCAA